RNAcentral lists this ribosomal RNA (426 nucleotides) under uncultured Actinomycetes bacterium. Its description in RNAcentral is "bacterial SSU rRNA". It matches the Rfam family "Bacterial small subunit ribosomal RNA", at positions 958 to 1385 of the family's 1533-position model. The record is from RNAcentral. Lineage: Bacteria; Bacillati; Actinomycetota; Actinomycetes.
AACGCGAAGAACCUUACCUGGGCUUGACAUGUCCCUGACCGCCGUGGAAACACGGUUUCCCUUCGGGGCAGGGUCACAGGUGGUGCAUGGCUGUCGUCAGCUCGUGUCGUGAGAUGUUGGGUUAAGUCCCGCAACGAGCGCAACCCCCGUCGCAUGUUGCCAGCAUUUAGUUGGGGACUCAUGCGAGACCGCCGGUGACAAACCGGAGGAAGGUGGGGAUGACGUCAAGUCAUCAUGCCCCUUAUGCCCAGGGCUACACACGUGCUACAUUGGCGCGUACAGAGGGCUGCGAUACCGCGAGGUGGAGCGAAUCCCUUAAAGCGCGUCUCGGUUCGGAUUGCAGGCUGAAACUCGCCUGCAUGAAGGCGGAGUUGCUAGUAAUCGCGGAUCAGCAUUGCCGCGGUGAAUACGUUCCCGGGCCUUGUA